GUAGGGAAUAUUGCACAAUGGAGGAAACUCUGAUGCAGCGACGCCGCGUGAGUGAUGAAGGCCUUCGGGUCGUAAAGCUCUGUCGCAGGGGAAUAACACAAUGAAGGUACCCUGUAAGAAAGGAUCGGCUAACUUCGUGCCAGCAGCCGCGGUAAGACGAGGGAUCCUAGCGUUGUUCGGAAUCAUUGGGCGUAACGCGGAUGUAGGUGGCUAUGUAAGUCAGAUGUGAAAGCCUGGGGCUCAACCCCAGAAGUGCAUUUGAUACUGCGUAGCUUGAGUGUCGGAGAGGUUACUAGAAGUGUUGGUGUAGUGGUGAAAUACGUAGAUAUCAACAGGAAUACCGGAGGCGAAGGCGGGUAACUGGCCGAACACUGACACUGAGAUCCGAAAGCGUGGGGAUCAAACAGGAUUAGAAACCCUAGUAUCC
Molecule: ribosomal RNA, 427 nt
Filed under: uncultured bacterium
Lineage: Bacteria
Description: bacterial SSU rRNA
Rfam family: Bacterial small subunit ribosomal RNA
Source: RNAcentral